CUCCUUUUUUUUUUUUUUAACACCAGUUUUGAAUUGAGAAUGUAAAUUUAUUAUUUUGAAAUAACUUUUAACAAUGGAUCUCUAGGCUCUCAUAUCGAUGAAGAACACAGUGAAAUGUGAUAAGUAAUGUGAAUUGCAGAAUUCAGUGAAUCAUUGAAUCUUUGAACGCACCUUGCACCUUAUGGUAUUCCAAAAGGUACACCUGUUUGAGUGUCAUGAAAAUCUCUCAUCAAAUUAAUUUUUGGUGGAUGUUGAGUGCUGCUGCUAUCUAGCUCACUUUAAAUAUAUAAGUCUUUCGACAUUUGUUGGAUUGACUUGGUGUAAUAAUUCUUUUUCAUCAAGGAAAGUAGCAAUACUUGCCAGCAUUGUGGAAAAUGGACUCCUAAAUUGAUUUUAUAUCUUUAUCUUUUUAAGACCUCAAAUCAGGUGGGACUACCUGCUGAACUUAAGCAUAUCAAUAAGCAGAGGAAAAGAAACUAACAAGGAUUCCCCUAGUAAUGGCGAAUGAAACGGGAAAA
Molecule: ribosomal RNA, 518 nt
Filed under: uncultured fungus
Lineage: Eukaryota; Fungi
Description: eukaryotic LSU rRNA
Rfam family: 5.8S ribosomal RNA (bases 63-216)
Source: RNAcentral